This 1409-nucleotide long non-coding RNA is filed under the name Vulpes vulpes (red fox). RNAcentral describes it as "lncRNA (ENSVVUG00000004528.1)". The record is from RNAcentral. Lineage: Eukaryota; Metazoa; Chordata; Mammalia; Carnivora; Canidae.
UGAUUCCCUUUUUUAUAGUGGCUUAAAUUCAUCCUGAGUUUCCAAAAAAGUGUUUACUUUUUUGAACUACUCACAGGUCCUCCAGGGAUAUACCAAAUCAACACACAGCUACCGAAUGCCCGGGCUUACGUGGAGAGCUACACCUGCACAGGCCGUGCUGGAGUCACUGGCCUGCGGAGCCCGUCUGGUUCGGGCAAGAGCUUCUGGACUUCCAACUAGGAGGUGCUACUGCCGGGCUGUACUUGCAGAUGGAGAAGACAGGACAGGAGAAUUUGGCCCGCUUGUUGAUAAUAAAAAGGCCCUAGGAAAGAAGAAAAUUGGGAGGGAUAAGGGAGCAUUCGGGUCUGCAAGGGCACAGACAACCCAUUCAGAAAUAGUAAAAGACCUUCUGGUACGGCAAGGAACUUAAAAUAGGUUCAGUAAGACCUCCAGCACACUCUGGCAUGAAUGGUCUUUGAACUUAGGGAAGAAGCCACUGGAUUUCAGUUGGUGGCAGAGCAGAUGGAAGAGGAAGAAGAAAGAGCGAAUUCUCCUGGAGUCAAGAGUGUUUGACUGUAUUUCAGGAAAACAGGCUAACUGCUCUCUCUUGAUGAGUUGUGGCUGGGAGGUGCUAUUUGCAGGGACCGCAGGAGUCUCAGGUAAUGCGAACAGGCUGGGAGGUUUGAAUUGAACCUUUCACACUGAUCAGAGUGGCAUCCGAUUGUUAGCUGUACUUGCCAAUUCCCCUCAAGCGGGAUCGCACAUCUUCUGUCAGAUUCAUCACCAACACCUUUGAGAAAACGUCUUCAGUGGGCAAUUCUCUUAGAAGACCAUUAAAAUAAUAAUCAGGAUGCCUGGGUGGCUCAGCAGUUGAGCAUCUGCCUUCGGCUCUGGUCAUGGUCCCGGGGUCCUGGGAUCGAGUCCCGCAUCGGGCUCCUGCUUCUCCCUCUGCCUGUGUCUCUGCCUCUCUCUCUGUGUGUCUCUCAUGAACAAAUAAGUAAAAUCUUUAAAAAAAAAAAAAAAGACCAUUAAAAUAAGACACAGAAAAGAUCUACCACCACAGUGGCAUCUGUUGACUCUGCAGCACCUUCCCCCUUCCCCUCUCCCUUGGGUGCCUUGUUUCUCCCCUUUGGAACCAACACUGACAGGGUAACCAUGCUUUCCAGGCCUGGACACAUACUUGCCAUCCAGGGAAGAUGGAUGAACCACCUCACCUCUGGCUCUGAGGUCUGCCCCCCCUUUGGAGCUGGUCGGUUUUCCAUUCCCGGCCAGCCCACCCUGCUUUCUGCUCUGGUGUCAGGGGCUGGCCCCACCCUGCAUCUGCCCACGUGCUCACCUGACCCCUUGCACGUGGUCACUAACAAGGGAGCCCUAGCUGUGCUCCCAUGCCACCCUCUCGAUGCUGAGCCCUCCACCUCACACAGUGACAC